GAUGAACGCUGGCGGCGUGCCUAAUACAUGCAAGUCGAGCGAACGGACGAGAAGCUUGCUUUUCUGAUGUUAGCGGCGGACGGGUGAGUAACACGUGGAUAACCUACCUAUAAGACUGGGAUAACUUCGGGAAACCGGAGCUAAUACCGGAUAAUAUUUUGAACCGCAUGGUUCAAAAGUGAAAGACGGUCUUGCUGUCACUUAUAGAUGGAUCCGCGCUGCAUUAGCUAGUUGGUAAGGUAACGGCUUACCAAGGCAACGAUGCAUAGCCGACCUGAGAGGGGGACAGCCACACUGGGAAUUGGAAACGGGCCCAACCCCCACGGGGGGCAAGAGGGGGGGAAUUUGCCGAAAGGGGGGAAGGCCGGACGGGCCAACCCGGGGGGGGGGAGGAAGGUUUCCGGUUGGAAAAACCUUUUUUUGGGGAAAAAAAACAUGGGUAAGAAACUGGGCACAUCUGGCGGGAACCAAAGAAAAAACCCCCGGUAAAUUCGUG
RNAcentral lists this ribosomal RNA (496 nucleotides) under uncultured bacterium. Its description in RNAcentral is "partial 16S ribosomal RNA". It matches the Rfam family "Bacterial small subunit ribosomal RNA", at positions 28 to 507 of the family's 1533-position model. The record is from RNAcentral.